AUUGAACGCUGGCGGCAGGCCUAACACAUGCAAGUCGAACGAGUGGCGGACGGGUGAGUAAUGUCUGGGAAACCGCGUGAUGGAGGGGGAUAACUACGGGAAACGGUAUCUAAUACCGUAUUCCCUUAGACGCGCCCAGAUGGGUUUAGCUUGUGGGUGGGGUAAUGGCUCACCAAGGCGACGCUCCCUAGCUGGUCUGAGAGGAGGACCAGCCACACUGGGACUGAGACACGGUCCAGACUCCUACGGGAGGGAGCAGUGGGGAAUAUUGCACAAUGGGCGCAAGCCUGAUGCAGCCAUGCCGCGUGUAUGAAGAAGGCCUUAGGGUUGUAAAGUACUUUCAGCGGGGAGGCGUUACCCACAGAAGAAGCAACGGCUAACUCCGUGCCAGCAGCCGCGGUAAUUC
RNAcentral lists this ribosomal RNA (406 nucleotides) under uncultured bacterium. RNAcentral describes it as "partial 16S ribosomal RNA". It matches the Rfam family "Bacterial small subunit ribosomal RNA", at positions 30 to 526 of the family's 1533-position model. The record is from RNAcentral.